ACCGCGGCCACCCCAUCCACUCGGUGCCCGUCGGUCACCUCGGGCGAAGCCAAGAGCCCCCACCAAGCAUCCAAGAAAGAGAGAACCGAGAGAGAGAGAGAGAGUUUCGCUGUCGGUCAGAGAUGACGAUGGAGCUUGUCCGUGACGCGCGUCACCGGACCUCGGCAUCGGGCUAGGGAGAUCGGCAAGUUCGCGCUGGACGCCGGGGGUGUUCCCUGUGCUUACGGUGUUGGGAGGGCACCGCAUUAUCACCGCGUGAAGAAGACCGAGUGGGGCUGCCGUAGUGCGGCGCUGCUCGUCCCUAGGCCGAGCCACGGGCAGGUCCACCGUCAUGGCGCGCAGACGUCGGUGCCUAGGAGUCGCGAGGAAGAAGACACUACGGUGAGAUCACGUGGAUCUGAAGAAUCACCCUGGUAACUGGAAUCUCAAGUGCUAG
Molecule: long non-coding RNA, 436 nt
Organism: Zea mays
Lineage: Eukaryota; Viridiplantae; Streptophyta; Magnoliopsida; Poales; Poaceae
Exons: 3
Source: RefSeq, a predicted model, not a curated record